AGAGUUUGAUCCUGGCUCAGAAUGAACGUUGGCGGCGUGGAUUAGGCAUGCGAGUCGUACGAGAACCCGCAAGGGGGAAAGUGGCGAACGGGGUAGUAAUGCGUAGGUGACGUGCCCUAUGGUCGGGGAUAGCUUAGGGAAACUUAAGGUAAUACUCGAUGAUCCCGGGAUGUUUGAAGACAAUCCGGGCAAAGGUGUGAUUCCAUCAUAGGAGCGGCUUGCGUGGUAUUAGCUAGUUGGUGAGGUAACGGCUCACCAAGGCUUCGAUGCCUAGGGGAUGUUAGCGCAUGAUCCCCACCACUGGGACUGAGAUACUGCCCAGACACCUACGGGUGGCUGCAGUCGAGAAUCUUCGGCAAUGGGCGAAAGCCUGACCGAGCGACGCCGCGUGUGGGAUGAAGGCCCUUGGGUUGUAAACCACUGUCAGAGGGGAUGAAAUGCAUGGGAGCUAUCUCCUGUGUUUGACAUAGCCUCAGAGGAAGCACGGGCUAAGUUCGUGCCAGCAGCCGCGGUAAGACGAACUGUGCAAACGUUAUUCGGAAUCACUGGGCUUAAAGGGUGCGUAGGCGGUCUUUUAAGUAGGGUGUGAAAGCCUCUGGCUCAACCAGAGAACUGCGCCCUAAACUAGAAGGCUUGAGUGAGGUAGGGGUGUGUGGAACUUCCAGUGGAGCGGUGAAAUGUGUUGAUAUUGGAAGGAACGCCGGUGGCGAAAGCGACACACUGGACCUUGUCUGACGCUGAGGCACGAAAGCCAGGGGAGCAAACGGGAUUAGAUACCCCGGUAGUCCUGGCCGUAAACG
This 800-nucleotide ribosomal RNA is filed under the name uncultured bacterium. RNAcentral describes it as "bacterial SSU rRNA". It matches the Rfam family "Bacterial small subunit ribosomal RNA", at positions 8 to 808 of the family's 1533-position model. The record is from RNAcentral.